This is a long non-coding RNA of Carassius gibelio (silver crucian carp), 947 nucleotides long. RefSeq lists it as uncharacterized. The record is from RefSeq and is a predicted model, not a curated record. The transcript has 4 exons. NCBI's taxonomy places the organism in Eukaryota, Metazoa, Chordata, Actinopteri, Cypriniformes, Cyprinidae.
CAGCCUGUCUCAUUCUGUUUCAUGGAUGCCUUGUUUUCUUGCGGUCCCUUGUGGUUUCUUGUUUUUGGACUGAUAUUAUGGUUAUGACCUCUUGCCUGUUUUGGAUAUUGAUUUUUGGAUUACCCAUUAUAACACUGCACUUGUUUCUCUGGCUUCCUGUGUUCCAUCGUUACAAAUAGUAGAAAUCAUACCCAUCCUUGCAGGGUUGCCUUUUAGAAAACAGAACCAGGAAAUCCCGAUUUUUGCUUCUUUGACUGUGGUGCAUUUAAUGUGAUAAAUAGUUUCCUUCUCAUCUGCUUUCUCAACCUCUUCACAGCUCCUGGAGGACACAUGGAAGGAUGGUUGGCGAGCAGCCAGAAAACAUGAAAAGCUGUUGUUUUGACCUUCAUCUCAACUUUUAAACCCUGCAUAUCAGCAUCCUCGUGCACAUUGACUCCUACCUGCAAAACACAGCUAUUUGGACUCCCAUUCUGACGGCACCCAUUCACUGCAGAGGUUGUUGAGCAAGUGAUGGUGCAUCCUACAGACUCCUCAAACUGGAUGUUAUCCAUGGAAGCCAUGACACAUGCCAUUCCUACAUGUCUUUCAGCUUAAAGGAAGAAAUGAAGAAAAAAGACUUAUAAUAUGAACUGCUAAAUGAACCUUUAAAGAUGGGUACACACUUAUUGUACAAAUUUGCUUGUAAUGGUUAUUUAUAUUUCAUGUGUUUAACUGGAGCAGAAACAGAAAGGAGAUAUAAGAGAGGACGCCUGUAAAUCAUUGUUGUGUACCGUCCUCAAGCCACGUUUCUUCACUAAUGGAGAAAUAUGGAUUCACACAAGAUUUGUGGGUAAAAGGGGGAUUGAUGCUAGUUACCUUUCUCAUCCAUGGGUUGAUAAAACACUAGGUUGUUUUGGGAAAAGGACAUUUUUUUUUUUUUUUUAACAAUAAAUUGAAUAAUGAUCAUA